Long non-coding RNA from Zophobas morio, 345 nucleotides. RefSeq lists it as uncharacterized. The record is from RefSeq and is a predicted model, not a curated record. The transcript has 3 exons. Lineage: Eukaryota; Metazoa; Arthropoda; Insecta; Coleoptera; Tenebrionidae.
UGACGACGCGCCUGCCUAUGAAAUCGGGUCUUUGAGGAAACAAAGCAGCUAGCAUUCUUCCAACUUGCAGUCCAAUUCGAGUAGAAAAGCCGUUGAGAAUAAGCUCAGGAGGAUGUGAUGUAAAGCAAGCGUGAUUCUUUAAAGGAAAAUAAAGAAAAAUUAAAACAAUGCCACUCAGUUUAAAAUAUGCAGUAGGACCGUGAGGGAGAUGCACCAAAGUUAAGGCGUUGCAUGUUUUCGCAUCCUCGUUAAUAACUAUAAGAAAACCUCAAACUUGCGUAUUUACAAAUUUCUUUAAUAUCGUAAUUUCUUCUUCUAUAGUGUUCUGCGCCAGGAAUGAGCUUU